CCCUUAGACGUUCUGGGCCGCACGCGCGCUACACUGACCAGUGCAACAAGCAUCCGUCCUUGGCCGACAGGCCCGGGCAAUCUUUGAACGCUGGUCGUGAUGGGGAUAGACUUUUGCAAUUUUUGGUCUUCAACGAGGAAUUCCUAGUAAACGCAAGUCAUCAACUUGCAUUGAUUACGUCCCUGCCCUUUGUACACAUCGCCCGUCGCACCUACCGAUUGAAUGGUCCGGUGAAGCCUCCGGAUUGGCGCGCACCUCGGUGCCGCCGAGAAGUUGGCUAAACCUUACCAUUUAGAGGAAGGUGAAGUCGUAACA
RNAcentral lists this ribosomal RNA (315 nucleotides) under uncultured eukaryote. RNAcentral describes it as "partial 18S ribosomal RNA". It matches the Rfam family "Eukaryotic small subunit ribosomal RNA", at positions 1470 to 1796 of the family's 1831-position model. The record is from RNAcentral.